RNAcentral lists this non-coding RNA (32 nucleotides) under Homo sapiens (human). Lineage: Eukaryota; Metazoa; Chordata; Mammalia; Primates; Hominidae. The record is from RNAcentral.
UUCCAAGCCCCAGCGAAAUACCUCUUUAAUGC